AGUGAACGCUGGCGGUAGGCCUAACACAUGCAAGUCGAACGGCAGCACAGUAAGAGCUUGCUCUUACGGGUGGCGAGUGGCGGACGGGUGAGGAAUACAUCGGAAUCUACUUUUUCGUGGGGGAUAACGUAGGGAAACUUACGCUAAUACCGCAUACGACCUACGAGUGAAAGCAGGGGAUCUUCGGACCUUGCGCGAUUGAAUGAGCCGAUGUCGGAUUAGCUAGUUGGCGGGGUAAAGGCCCACCAAGGCGACGAUCCGUAGCUGGUCUGAGAGGAUGAUCAGCCACACUGGAACUGAGACACGGGCCAGACUCAUACGGGAGGCAGCAGUGGGGAAUAUUGGACAAUGGGCGCAAGACUGAUCCAGCCAUACCGCGUGGGUGAAGAAGGCCUUCGGGUUGUAAAGCCCUUUUGUUGGGAAAGAAAAGCAGCAGGUUAAUACCCCGCUGUUCUGACGGUACCCAAAGAAUAAGCACCGGCUAACUUC
This 489-nucleotide ribosomal RNA is filed under the name uncultured bacterium. Its description in RNAcentral is "partial 16S ribosomal RNA". It matches the Rfam family "Bacterial small subunit ribosomal RNA", at positions 29 to 504 of the family's 1533-position model. The record is from RNAcentral.